RNAcentral lists this transfer RNA (77 nucleotides) under Pseudomonas viridiflava. RNAcentral's name for it is "tRNA-OTHER". The record is from RNAcentral. Lineage: Bacteria; Pseudomonadati; Pseudomonadota; Gammaproteobacteria; Pseudomonadales; Pseudomonadaceae.
GCCCGGAUAGCUCAGUUGGCAGAGCGCUGUAUGAAACAUUACGGAGGUCGGUGGGUCGGAUCCACCUCCGGGCACCU